UCCCCCGCGGUCCCGCCCCGCGGCGAGCGGGACUCGUGCAAAAGGUGCGCUUCUUCACACGGCCCGGCCGGCGCGCGCUCGGGGGCGGGGCUCCCCCUGCGGGCCGGGCGGGUUCGCGCGGGGCUUGGGGGGGCUUCGUGACGUCACGUGUCGACCGUUGGGGCCGAGAGCGGCUGUGUGGGAGCGGGGGGCCCGCGCUGCGGGUAGCGGGUAUUGCGGUGGACGCGGCCCUGCCCGCUCCUGGCUCGGCCUGGAGCUCCCUGCUUGGGCGGAGGGGAGCUCGCUCCGUUUUCUGCCGGUGUUAGAACGGGUGGUGAGGAUAUAAUAGGUGAUGUGAUUUGGAAUAUGCUGUGAACCUGACUCUGAGGUGUUCUGGACACUAUUCGUCACUUCAAGCACCAGAUGUGGCCUUCACAUAAGGAUGGAAACUUGAAGGAGUCUCAAUAGGCUGAGCUGACACGGACUUCUGUGGGAGGCAAGCACAGGGGUGAAUUGCCCGCCAGGUCACUCUGUGUAGGUGAACAUGGAAUCAGCUGCCUGCUUAGAACAAAAGCCUCAUUGCCAAGUGAUGCAAGUCCCAGGUAGAUGGAUCCAUUUGGGUGCAUCAUACAGCAGCUCUUCUCUGAUCACACUGGUCCCUCUAGAAAGGAGCAUGAUGGUGAGAAGGUUCUCCUUGCUCUCAGUUCACCCAGAGAAAGAAAUUCAAAAUGUGCCCUAAAGGAGGUGAAAGACGCAUGAAAUCAUGUUCCAGGAUCUCAGAAAUGUGCCAGAGUCUACCAGAAGAAAAGCAAUUGAGUACCUUGCACUGGCAAGGUCUGCUGUGCUGCCUGAUGGAACAGAUAUCGUACCUCCUUUCACAACCGAGUGCUGGAGAGAGAAAUGGGCACAUCAGAAAAUAAGCACUGAGAACUUUUUGCAAACUAAUAGACUAUCUUUGUAGAAUGAACUGACCGUGGAGCCCUUUUCUCAGCACAACUGAACUUGUCCAGGUACCACACGGUAACAGUAACAGGUAUUAGAGGCAACCUUCAGAGACUGUUCUUUCAUGUGGAGUCUUCUGUUGACUUGGGAUGUACUGAGUUGUCUGCCAAGCAUUGCUCUUCUCAAGGUUAAGUAACAGUUGCAACGCAAAGGUAAAACACAUACAACACGUUAGUGUUACUGUAGGGCAGUGGCUGGAGAAACAAAAUCCACCAGCUAAACUAAGAGACAUAGUCAAUAGGAAAUAUUCUUCCCGUUUCAAACAGAAAUGGAAGAACAUUUAUUUGCCAGAAUUUUUACAGAUUUUCCCCUUCAGAUUCUCAAGAGAGGUUACAAAAUCUUAACUACGUUAUUCUGUCACACAAUAAUAAGCUGAAUUUACCAUCUCAUCAAAUUUAGUAUUACAAUUUUGGUUAGCAAAGCAAAGCAUUACUGCAUUUUCCCAAAGCGAUGCUGACCAGUAUUACUGAGGUUGGCUUGUUAUUUACUCAUUGCAGGGACAGAGAGCUUUAUCUCUUUUUUAACUUUCCCAGUUUCCCAAGGCAAAUUUUAAGAUCUGUUCAUCAUAACUCAAAGAGCUCCUUCCCAUCUUUAACACUCAUGGACCAACCUCUCUAUUUGUGUCAAUUUUUAACACUUCUGCAGUAAUAUUUACAAUUAAUUUUACUUUUAAAGUUAUUAUUAAAACUUUCCAGCCUUUAUUCAGCCGUGUUAGAUGUCAGCACAAGCUGCUCUUAAGUUCCCCAGGGAUCGCUUUUCCAGUCUCAUAGAGAAGUCUUAAGUCUUAGGUCUGACUCACUAUAGAAACAGAACACCAGGAGGACAAGCAAUGCAGAGCCCUUUUCCUCAGGCCCCAGAGAAUCUAAGCAUGUUCUGAAAAACUGAGUACCGGUGGAUUCUACCUAUACAAAGGUGUAAACAAAAAGUUUUUUUCUUCCAUAAAAAGGGGAUACAGUGAUCUCAAUUAAAAAAAUAAUAACUACCGCAUAUAACAAACCUGACCACCUCAGACGCCCAUAUUUAUCCACCAUCACACUCCCAGCCCUGCGAGCACCAUUCUCACAGCUCUGAUCAUUACUCUGCCCUAUUUGUAAGUGGGCAGCUCAAGUCUGGCACUCGCUCUGCGUGCCAAAGGGACUGACGACACGUGCUAUCUGACAGCUGCCUGAGCUGAGAAGGAUGGGAAGGAGAAGCACCUGGCACCGGAACUAAUUACAUCAGUUCUCUGUGCCCUGAGCUAACAAAGCCUUUGAAUACAUUUUGUGGUUAUCUUAUUUUAAAAUCAGCGAGAUAUGUUUCUCUCUACGCAGCAGUAUACAUACAUGACAAGACAUCCACGUACCUUUAUUUGCUGCUUUCGCUGAAAUUAGUAAUAUUUAAAUCAAAACCAACCAAAAGCCAUGUGGCAGCCAACAGAAAAGUAAGAAUACACGAUGGAGUCCUGAGAGAUAAAAAUUUAUUUAGAUCUGAUCAGCAUGUCAUGAUAUGGUCACAACUCAUACAGCUGACACUCCCGUAGCCAAAAGGACUUUUUCCUUUUUAAAAAUACAUUUUUUCUUCCCAGCAGGAAAGAUUUUUUUUUUUUUUUAAACAAACAUUUAAUAUGAGGCAGGAAUGAAUUUACAACAAUGGCUUCUCAGACCAAUGACACAGCCGGUAAGCAGUGGGUCUCCCACCCGUGUCUUCAUUUAGAUUUCAGGUUUUUCCUCCCCAGCUCCCCCACCCCUCACAGGAAAACACCACAAAAAGAAGAGCACAAAGCCCAGAAGGGAAACGAAGAGGUAGAUGGAGCUUCAGCCAUCGCUGUUGGCAAGACGUCCUCCUGUGCUCUGAGGAGUUCCUUGUUGGGUCGCAUUGCAGCACUGCACGCCAACAGGUAAUGCUGCACGUGGCAACCGAGCGCUGUGCCAGAGCUGCAGAAUGGAUGGGGCUGUCCUGCUGCACAUUUCUUUGCCCAGCUGAAGCUGUUUAAAACCAGCCUGUGCUGUUCAGAUAAUAGGUGCAUCUGCCAAAUGACUAUGGCCUUGCUCACAAGGUCAGACUCCCAUUUCUCUUAGGUAGCAGCAACCUGGGGUCAGUGGGGACCUGGGUUCUGUUCCCAGCAUCCCCUGAACUCGUAGAAACUUUGAGGGGAAUCAUUGCUACACAGCACCCUGUGCAGAAACUGCAGGCGGAGCACCCACAGUUUCCAGCAGGUACUCGAGCAGAGGAGGGCUGCAGGAAUUGCUUCCCCCAACCUGCUGCUCCACUCCUCCCCUUACACCACUGCUGCCACAGAGAGGUUCCUCUACUUGUCCUCCCCAGAGCUCCAUAACCAACACUGUCACUUAACACUCAGCUGCAUGGUGAACUGUUUUUUCCCCAGUAUUUGUAGACUUCAUGGCAAGCACAAUAGAGACUGUGCAUCUAUUAGAUACAAGCACAAUAAAUACAGCCCUCAAACAAAAUCAUCUCUGCUAUUAAGGAUUAGAAGCACAUGAAAUAACCUUGAAAAAAAAAAAUCAACUUUAUCUUGCCACACAAAAAAAAAGGGAAAAAGACACCUCAUAGUCUCUGAAGAGAAAUGCUUCUUCUGGUAUCUGCCUGCAGUUCUGAAAGACAUCUCGGCUGCUGGAAAUACCCGAUAAAAAACCCAAUGAAAUAAUUCCAGUACAAUGAAUCCAACCACAACAGCCCUCUGCACAACUGCAGAGUAACUGCGCCCAUUUGCCAUACAGAGCACGGCGUGGCUAACACGGGGGAAGGAGAACACUGGACGCUAACAUAAAUGCUAUCGAGAAAACUAACUUUUACCAUACAAAACAAACACCGUUGUAGAGAAACUUUAAAAGGACUCACUCACUGUAAGAGGACAGUUGUUCAGUGUAUCAUUAAACUUCAGUAUCUGAUGCUUAAAUCAAAGGUUUAACUUGAAAAUACACAGAAUCCUUUUAAAUCCUUUCUGCAUCCCAGGCAGAGUCCACAGCUUUUGCACAGAGAAAGUGAAAUUGCUCAGAAGUGUUCAUAAUGCACACAGACUUUUAAAGUCAGAGAACAGUUUCAGUUUUGCUCUUCCAACUGUUCUUUAAAAAAAAAAAAAAAGAAGUGUAAAAGUUAUCAAGUAUGCAAUUUUGCAAAAUAACCAUUUAUUUCGUAUGGCUGCGUUAUUUCCAAACGAUACAGUACCCGGAUGUAUCCUUACGCUGUGUGAUUGUAUCAGAGCAGCACACAGCCUCCAGCCUGCUGUCCCAGAACACACCUCCCCCAGCUCCAAGUACCUUUGGUUCCAACACUGCAUGUCAAGGCAAAGCGGAGCAGCUGAAUCUGUCACGCACAGUGAUCGGUGUAUCUGCAUUCACUUAUACAAACAAAGUUGACAGAGUUAACAGCACUUUAUGGCAAAACACCCAAAACAAUUACAUCAUUUACAAAGGGAUGAGUAACGAGCAGUACCACGGCAGUCACUUCAAUGCAGCAAGAUGCAUCCUGUUUUGAGACUCAGGGUGGAACAGGGAGAAGGAAGCUCAUAAUUUUCAGGGGAGUGAGGUUAAUUGCCAUCUUUCUUUUCCAAAUCUGAUGAGAGCAACUGAAAAAAAAAAUUCCUCCUGGAAGAGUCAUCACUGCUGAAACGUGUGGUAACAGAACCAUACGUACAGUGUAAGAGAAUCUGUAAGGAAGGUACACGCAAAGGGCACUGACAUAGAAGCGCUGCUCAUUUUGGAGGGGCAGAUAUUCUUCUUAGGAUGAAAUUCAGUACGAGCAGUGACGCUAAACCAUCGGGACUUGCAUCGUUUCCAGUGAAACUUGUUUAUGAACAAUUAAACAGAGAAACUUACAAAUGUUGAGUGCAACCCCGACAGAGAAACGUCUUUGUUCACAACAAACUUGAACCGCUAUGUUCUCACUUGUGUGUGCAACAGCUUUCAAUUUAUUUUUUUCAUCCUGCUGUCACUUUAUACAUCCUUCCACAUUAUUUCUCCUAACACAUAUUUAAAAUCACAGCAAUUAACCGUUUUGUGAUCAACUGCACGGUUCAUAAACAUUCGUGUCAAAUGCAGGUUGAA
Gallus gallus (chicken) is the source of this 5024-nucleotide long non-coding RNA. RefSeq lists it as uncharacterized. Lineage: Eukaryota; Metazoa; Chordata; Aves; Galliformes; Phasianidae. The transcript has 8 exons. The record is from RefSeq and is a predicted model, not a curated record.